RNAcentral lists this ribosomal RNA (253 nucleotides) under uncultured bacterium. RNAcentral's name for it is "partial 16S ribosomal RNA". It matches the Rfam family "Bacterial small subunit ribosomal RNA", at positions 524 to 776 of the family's 1533-position model. The record is from RNAcentral.
UACGUAGGGGGCAAGCGUUGUCCGGAAUCAUUGGGCGUAAAGAGUGCGUAGGCGGCCAGGUAAGUCCGCUGUGAAAGUCCAGGGCUCAACCCUGGGAUGCCGGUGGAUACUGUCGGGCUCGAGUCCGGAAGAGGAGUGUGGAAUUCCUGGUGUAGCGGUGAAAUGCGCAGAUAUCAGGAAGAACACCCGUGGCGAAGGCGGCUCUCUGGGACGGUACUGACGCUGAGGAGCGAAAGCGUGGGGAGCGAACAGG